Melozone crissalis (California towhee) is the source of this 670-nucleotide long non-coding RNA. RefSeq lists it as uncharacterized. The transcript is spliced from 3 exons. NCBI's taxonomy places the organism in Eukaryota, Metazoa, Chordata, Aves, Passeriformes, Passerellidae. The record is from RefSeq and is a predicted model, not a curated record.
UUCGCGUCUUUAAUUCCAUGGCUUUGAGUUCCGCACAGUCCGAGGGAGGAGGGACAAACUCGGGGCUGCUUUGGUCGAUUCCUGCCGGGCUCGGGGGGAGCCAGGGCCGCCCUCGGGGGGCCGGUAAGGCUGUGGAUAAACCCGGGAUAAACCCGGGAUAGAUCCAGGAGGAGCCAACCCCUGGAGGUGGCCCCGCAGAGUGCAAUUAGAAGGGGGAAUUAAUUAAUUAAUUAACACUGCGGUGGGGAGGGGGGGGGGGGGUUUGGCCUCUGGGGACCCGGCGCCAGAAGUGACCCCGGGGGGAUUGGGGCACCUCGGGGGUGCCCAGGUCAGGGGGAUUGACCCUCCCUGGGGCAGGAGGGGCCCCGCGGGAUCAGGGAUUUCCCAGCCAGAAUUCCCAGUGGGAUCAGGGAUUUCCCAGGUGGAAUUCCCAGUGGGAUCAGGGAUUUCCCAGCCAGAAUUCCCAGUGGGAUCAGGGAUUUCCCAGAUGGAAUUCCCAGUGGGAUCAGGGAUUUCCCAGCCAGAAUUCCCAGUGGGAUCAGGGAUUUCCCAGAUGGAAUUCCCAUGGGAUCAGGAGCCCAGCGAGCAGGGAUUUCCCAGCCGGAAUUCCCAGUGGGAUCAGAGCCCACGGCCAGGGCAGCAUGGCAGGACCGGGGACGUGCCCAGCCCG